UGUCUGAACAUGGGGGGACCAUCCUCCAAGGCUAAAUACUCCUUACCGACCGAUAGUGAACCAGUACCGUGAGGGAAAGGCGAAAAGAACCCCGUUGAGGGGAGUGAAAUAGAACCUGAAACCGUGUGCGUACAAGCAGUAGGAGCAGACUUGUUCUGUGACUGCGUACCUUUUGUAUAAUGGGUCAGCGACUUAAUUUAUGUAGCGAGCUUAACCGAAUAGGGGAGGCGCAGGGAAACCGAGUCUUAAUAGGGCGACUAGUUGCAUGGAUUAGACCCGAAACCUGGCGAUCUAUCCAUGGUCAGGGUGAAGGUGAGGUAACACUUACUGGAGGCCCGAACUCACGUAUGUUGAAAAAUGCGGAGAUGAACUGUGGAUCGGAGUGAAAGGCUAAUCAAGCCAGGAGAUAGCUGGUUCUCCUCGAAAGCUAUUUAGGUAGCGCCUCAUAUGUAUCCUCUCGGGGGUAGAGCACUGUUAUGGCUAGGGGGUCAUUGCGACUUACCAAACCAUUGCAAACUCCGAAUACCGAUGAGUGAUAUCCGGGAGACAGACGGCGGGUGCUAAGGUCCGUCGUCAAAAGGGAAACAGCCCUAACCUACAGCUAAGGUCCCCAAGUCAUCACUAAGUGGGAAAGCAUGUGGAACUUCCAAAAC
RNAcentral lists this ribosomal RNA (653 nucleotides) under Thalassiosira minuscula. Its description in RNAcentral is "partial Bacterial large subunit ribosomal RNA". It matches the Rfam family "Bacterial large subunit ribosomal RNA", at positions 435 to 1090 of the family's 2925-position model. The record is from RNAcentral. Lineage: Eukaryota; Bacillariophyta; Thalassiosirophyceae; Thalassiosirales; Thalassiosiraceae.